Synchiropus splendidus (mandarinfish) is the source of this 2147-nucleotide long non-coding RNA. RefSeq lists it as uncharacterized. The transcript is spliced from 4 exons. NCBI's taxonomy places the organism in Eukaryota, Metazoa, Chordata, Actinopteri, Syngnathiformes, Callionymidae. The record is from RefSeq and is a predicted model, not a curated record.
ACCAUUCAGUUGUGUUAUAUAAGAAAUAAUCUUUUUUUAUUUUAUUUUUCAACUAUAAAUCAAAUUUCCUAGUGCAGUAAAACGGACUAACCUCCAGCUGAGUGAGAAUCAUGGCCUCAGAUUUGUAGCUGCUAAUGCGGAUAAUUCACAUUGAUACAGACUUCAGUUAAAAGGUUAAGAUAUGUUUGAAUAUAGGGACACAUUUUUAAAGUCCUCUGGUGUUGGCUUCAUCCAAGUUCUGCCACUGCAAACCUCCUUGAAAGCAGUGUUUGGAUGCGCCGCAGUUAGUCCCAGAUGAGAGGAAAAUUGCCCGAAUCGUGGCUUCAAAUUGCUUCAGGAGCGAAGAAAACAUGUUUCCAUCAGAGAAAUGCCGAGGCAGGGUCUCCACCUGUCUCCUCAAUCACUGACCUUUUCAGAGUUUUACAGUUGUUGACCCAUUUUCACCAGAUUGCCACGUGAGCGGAGCACAAGGCCUGUUUUCCUCCAGACUGGGUUCCAUUCAGCACAAAGCUUUAAUCACACUGAAGGUAGAAAACAUUAAGUACAGACAGGAAGUGAGUUCAUCUCGACUUACACUUCAGUACAGUAGUUGCCGAUCUAUAACAACAAUUUGUUUGUCGUCUACAAAGCUAGAAAAUAAAGCAUCAAUGUCAAAUCUAUGUACAGUUCAAAUGGAUACAAAUAUUACAUGAUGUGUUUUGUUCAGCGUCUCAGCUGAGCAGCACUACAAGUGACUCAAAGUUCCAGUGGACGACUCAGUGGCUCAGUCGAUGCCAAACCGCCACCACCUUCUCAGGGUGAGCCAUCAUGUCCGUCCACUGCGCCACCGCUUCUGGAGCCGAACUGUCGAAUCCCAGCUGGAUCUGACUUAAAGAAGAACCAGAUCCAAAAUACAGCCAUCGAGGGAGGACGUUUUUUUUAAAAAGACUGAGUCCAUAGACACAGGAGCAGUUGAUCCCAAGACCAGGACCUUUAAAACUGAAGACAGAGAGUGGACUUCACCACUCCCUGACAGCAUCAGACCAAGCCUCCAUCGAGAGUCCGGCGUGGGAAAGGCCCGGCGCUCUGUUGACCGACCCAGCAGCAGAUUCAUAUAAAAGACACUGUUUCCUCCUCAGGGAGCUGCGACUGUAGAGCUUGACAGACAGAGAACACGCCUGAUCGAAGGACACCAGCUGGAAGUGGAAGGUCUCCGUCCACGUACACUGACCCGCCGAGGCCUUCAGGACACGCGUCUUCUUCUUAGUCACUGGUCCCAGCUGGUGCAUCUCUGCCUUGACGAAGAACCCUACAGGAGAGUAAGGUGGAAGAAGCUAUGGAUCAGAACCAUAACAUCAGACAGACUGAGUGGGCUGCCAUCUUUCUAGUCUGGAAUUUGUUUUCACCUUGAGAGAGUGGCGAUGCAGACGGCGGGAGGUUUUGGGCUGCGAGGACUUGAAGUUGGAUGCGGCCGUUGACCGGCUGGAAGCAGGUGGUGAGGUGAAGCUCAGAGUGACUCACCUGGAAGAUGUUCGAAGCAUAAGUUUAACACACUGGUAAGAUAUAGGAGGGUUUGUGCGCCCCUGAUGUAGUAGAUAUGCCCGGCCUAUGGGCGACGUUCUAGCAACCAACCAAGACACCUCAGGCAACAAUAGCAUUAGAACCUGAACAUGGAAAUAGAGAGGUCAGGGUGGACGUAGUGGGGCUCUUGUCGUGAGUCACUUGAUUCCAAAACAGAAAGGACCCGCAACUCUGCUUAAAACUAGGGGUCAAAGUCCCAGUCCUCGACAGUUCGGGCGGGAACCCUGUCACAGCUGCAGCUCAAAAGCUCACAGUUGAAAGCCUGAAGAAUACGUGUCAAACUCAAGGCCUGAGGGCCAGAUCCGGCCUGCCAAGUCAUUUCAUGUGGCCCCUGAGAUGGAUGGAGCACACUGCGGAUUCAUGUUUAUAACUCAGGAUCCCAGCGUUUCAGGUAAAUGUUUGUGCUUCAAGGAGAGCCUGUGUUGUGUUUGGUGAAGGAGGACAAACACAGAUAUGGUUAAGAUUUAACCACCAAGAAUGAAGAGAGAGAAACAUUGCCUUGAUCUUUCCUGUAAAAGGAACGCCUGUGAUGACAGUCCGGGACAUAAAUCUUUUGGUUGUCCCAAGACUUGUUUGCUUGACUUUGA